RNAcentral lists this ribosomal RNA (962 nucleotides) under Acinetobacter lwoffii. RNAcentral describes it as "bacterial SSU rRNA". Lineage: Bacteria; Pseudomonadati; Pseudomonadota; Gammaproteobacteria; Moraxellales; Moraxellaceae. The record is from RNAcentral.
AUUGAACGCUGGCGGCAGGCUUAACACAUGCAAGUCGAGCGGGGAAAKGUAGCUUGCUACMUWACCUAGCGGCGGACGGGUGAGUAAUGCUUAGGAAUCUGCCUAUUAGUGGGGGACAACAUCUCGAAAGGGAUGCUAAUACCGCAUACGUCCUACGGGAGAAAGCAGGGGACCUUCGGGCCUUGCGCUAAUAGAUGAGCCUAAGUCGGAUUAGCUAGUUGGUGGGGUAAAGGCCUACCAAGGCGACGAUCUGUAGCGGGUCUGAGAGGAUGAUCCGCCACACUGGGACUGAGACACGGCCCAGACUCCUACGGGAGGCAGCAGUGGGGAAUAUUGGACAAUGGGGGGAACCCUGAUCCAGCCAUGCCGCGUGUGUGAAGAAGGCCUUUUGGUUGUAAAGCACUUUAAGCGAGGAGGAGGCUACCGAGAUUAAUACUCUUGGAUAGUGGACGUUACUCGCAGAAUAAGCACCGGCUAACUCUGUGCCAGCAGCCGCGGUAAUACAGAGGGUGCAAGCGUUAAUCGGAUUUACUGGGCGUAAAGCGCGCGUAGGUGGCCAAUUAAGUCAAAUGUGAAAUCCCCGAGCUUAACUUGGGAAUUGCAUUCGAUACUGGUUGGCUAGAGUAUGGGAGAGGAUGGUAGAAUUCCAGGUGUAGCGGUGAAAUGCGUAGAGAUCUGGAGGAAUACCGAUGGCGAAGGCAGCCAUCUGGCCUAAUACUGACACUGAGGUGCGAAAGCAUGGGGAGCAAACAGGAUUAGAUACCCUGGUAGUCCAUGCCGUAAACGAUGUCUACUAGCCGUUGGGGCCUUUGAGGCUUUAGUGGCGCAGCUAACGCGAUAAGUAGACCGCCUGGGGAGUACGGUCGCAAGACUAAAACUCAAAUGAAUUGACGGGGGCCCGCACAAGCGGUGGAGCAUGUGGUUUAAUUCGAUGCAACGCGAAGAACCUUACCUGGUCUUGA